AUUGAACGCUGGCGGCAAGCCUAACACAUGCAAGUCGAACGAGUGGCGGACGGGUGAGUAAUGUCUGGGAAACUGCCUGAUGGAGGGGGAUAACUACUGGAAACGGUAGCUAAUACCGCAUACCAGCGGAUGUGCCCAGAUGGGAUUAGCUAGAAGGUGGGGUAAAGGCUCACCUAGGCGACGAUCCCUAGCUGGUCUGAGAGGAUGACCAGCCCCACUGGAACGGAGACACGGUCCAGACUCCUACGGGGGGCAGCAGUGGGGAAUAUUGCACAAUGGGCUCAAGCCUGAUGCAGCCAUGCCGCGUGUAUGAAGAAGGCCGUCGGGUUGUAAAGUACUUUCAGCGGGGAGGCGUUACCCGCAGAAGAAGCACCGUCUAACUCCGUGCCAGCAGCCGCGGUAAUAC
RNAcentral lists this ribosomal RNA (406 nucleotides) under uncultured bacterium. RNAcentral describes it as "partial 16S ribosomal RNA". It matches the Rfam family "Bacterial small subunit ribosomal RNA", at positions 30 to 526 of the family's 1533-position model. The record is from RNAcentral.